GGAUGAAUCUUCUACAAUGGGCUAACGCCCGAUAGAGCAACGCCGCGUGGAGGACGACGGCCUUCGGGUUGUAAACUCCUUUCGGGGGGAGUGAUACGGACAGUACCCCCAGAAGCAGCCCCGGCUAACUCUGUGCCAGCAGCCGCGGUAAGACAGAGGGGGCAAGCGUUGUCCGGAUUGACUGGGCGUACAGCGCGCGCAGGCGGGGGCGUAUGUGCCGUGUGACAGUCGGGAGCUUAACUCCCGCCGGCCACGGUAGACAGCGUCGU
RNAcentral lists this ribosomal RNA (269 nucleotides) under uncultured bacterium. RNAcentral describes it as "partial 16S ribosomal RNA". It matches the Rfam family "Bacterial small subunit ribosomal RNA", at positions 355 to 641 of the family's 1533-position model. The record is from RNAcentral.